RNAcentral lists this antisense RNA (88 nucleotides) under Candidatus Enterococcus dunnyi. RNAcentral describes it as "Enterococcus sp. 9D6_DIV0238 Enterococcus sRNA 84". It matches the Rfam family "Enterococcus sRNA 84". From Rfam's summary of the family: Name 'Ref' stands for RNA in E. faecalis. Lineage: Bacteria; Bacillati; Bacillota; Bacilli; Lactobacillales; Enterococcaceae. The record is from Rfam by way of RNAcentral.
UACCAACAACAACCCUUUUUAUUUUUUCAUUUUACUCGCAAGAGUAAAACUCCUUUUUCCCAUCUUCUUAGAAGGUGGGAUUUUUUAU